UAUGGAAGUUCCCAGGCUAGGAGUCAAAACAGAGCUACAGCUGCCUGCCUACACCACAGCCACAGCAACGUAGGAUCUGAGCUGUGUUUGCGACCUACACCAUAGCUCAUGGCAACGCCAGAUCCCUAACCCACUUGCGAGGCCAGGGAUCAAAUCUGCGACCUCAUAGUUCCUAGUUCCUGCUGCACCACAAUGGGAACUCCACAAAUAUAUUCUUUAUAUCUUGUAAGCAUCUGACCAAAAGAAAACAAAAAUAACAAGCUUACUUUUAGCUACAGUUACCUUGAAAAUUAAGCCUCUUAAUAAGGAAAAUGGGAGCCUCUCCCUAGAUAGAACUGUAGGAAAAUGUUUAAAAGGCAAAUCCUUUUAUGGCAGAAAAGAGGUGUAGAAAUGCAAAAUCUUGGCUCUAACAUUAAUUUGGGGUUAACUAUAAAACAUGCGGUGGCUGGGCUUCUCCGUUUGUAACUUGGAAUGUCACCUGGAUAUGUUAGCUACAUUUGCAUUAUUUUAGCAACAUGUUAAUAAUAUUACGACACUUUAAAACAUACGAUUUUUAACAGCUGAAAAAUAUACAUAAUGCCUUUCUACAAUGUGCUUUCUUCAACACUGAAAGAUGAAGAAUGUAACAUCUACAAGAGCCCUUUGAAAAAUGAUGCAUCAUGAAGGUUAAGGAUCUGGCAUUGUCACUGCAGUGGUUCAAGUCACUGCUGUGGCGCAAGUUCGGUUCCUGCCCUGGGAACUUCUGCUUGCCACGGGCAUGACAAAGGAAGAAAGGAAGAAAGGGAGGAAGGGAGGGAGGGAGGGAGGAAGAAAAGCACAGAGAUUCUUUAAAAUAGGUGUAGUGAGGGAGUUCCCGUUGUGGCUCAGUGGUUAGCGAACCCAACUAGUAUCCAUGAGGAUGUGGGUUCGAUCCUUGGCUUCGCUCAAUGGGUUAAGGAUCCAGCAUUGCUGUGAGCUGUGGUGUAGGUCACAGAUGCGGCUCGGAUCCUGCGUUGCUGUGGCUGUGGUGUAGGCUGGCAGCUGUAGCUCCAAUUCGACGUUUGGCCUGAGAACUCCCAUACGCCUUGAGUGCGGCCCUAAAAAGCAAAAAAAGAAAAAAGAAAAAAGAAAAAGGCACACUGAUCUCUGAGAUGAAGCUCCAGAUGCUUAAGUGCCUUCUCCAGUAUUAGACCCAGUGGCUGAGGGAAGACGUUCCAAACAUGUAUUCCCCAAUUACACACAGGCCCAUGCUCCUGAUUCACCCCACGCAAGAUACUGCUAAGCUGCCAUCAGGAAGACAUGCGUUUUGUGAGGUUUUGCAGGAAUGGCAAUACGUCUGAAUUCUGUUAUUACUACAUGACCAACAGUAAACCAUCCUGAGCGUUGGCCUGGGAUGAGAUUGGCUGCCGGUCCCAGGACGGGUCCCCAAGGGAUUCUUACUAACGUUUCCUUUCCCCAUGUUCUUCCAGCCCUUGGACCGUCACAACCAACCAGCGCCACCAAGUGCCACGUUGAGCGGGGCGUACGCACCGUACCCUCCAUCCCCACAACAUCCUUAUUAGGAGGUAAUCACCCACUUUACAGACCCAGGUGAAGUAACUUUCUGCAGAUCAUUUAGCCACCAGAAUUAGGAUUCAAUUUACGGUGAAUUAACUCGCACUUUUCGACGUGCCAUUUGCCGUUUAUUGCCAAAUUUUCACUGUUCAGGACUUUUUUUUCCUUCCUUUGGUCAAGCCAAGAAGGGUUUCUAAUUAAAGGCCUCGAUUCAAACUUUGGAUCCUUUGUCCUCUCCCAUUAACUAGUGGCAGGAUUGGCUCAACCACUCACAGAUGUCCAGAACUACUUGGUUUUAUUAAAAUUCAACUCAGGUGUCGGUGGCCUCUGCGUAGUGGAAGAAAGUGGCUGAGGACAGGAGCUGGUUUCUUUUUCUUCAGCUGAAUUUGAUCUCACUGCAGUGAAACGGCACCUGCUUUUUCAGCCUUACUCCUUCCGGUAACUGGCCCAGACAGAACCUGGUCCCUGGGCAGCAGGGAGGUGGGUGCAGAGAGGGCUCAGGGACGCUGGCGGAGCUUGCAGAAAGAGGCACAAGGGAAUCCAGCCAGUGUCUGCUCUGGGGCAGCUGCUGUGAUGUGUGAGAGGUGCGUGUGUGCUCACACUGAACGCUCACAUGGAAGGUAAUUGUUCACAACGUUUAGAAAACCACGGUGAGCCUCGGAUAUGGACAACCGGCCAAGGAACAGCCUCUGGGCAGGAAGCAUCACGCCUCCUAAAACGAUGUAAUAAUUACUGCAGAUGCCCCAUCAUUGCAAUCCCGCCUCGGAGGAGAAAGAGAACGCGGGGAGCAGUACCCAGGAGGCCGCAGUUUCCGAUCCCAGACUCGGCGCCGGCUGCUGGGAGAGAGGCCGCCACCUCCCCCCGCCUCUCCUAAAACCCCCAGCGCCCCGCCUACCUCGCUAGUCCCGGGAUAAAACUUGCUCUUAAAGGAAGGGAAACUCGAUGUGCUGUCAGUGUCUGCAGAACUGUCCGUGUCAGAGGCUCCCAUCCGCUACCGCAGACGAACCGCCGGUGACAGCGGCCAGUCGGCAGCCCGCUUUCCUGACUUCCUGAUUCCUGGGCGGGCACUGCCCCUAGCAGGUUGGCUGGGGAAACGUAAUGCUGCAAAGGUGCUGGGGAUUUCCGAUGGACAUGUUCUAAAAUUAGGUUUUGAUGAUGGCUGUACGACUCAGAAUUAAAUUCACUGAAUUAUUAAAAAAAAAAAAGAAACUAAUAGGUACUUUGCCAUAAGUGGCCGAAAGACCACAACAGGAUCAAUGAGGCCAAAGGAAAAAAGGAUGUAAUUUUUCUUUGGGCACGAGUUUUUAUCAUAACUAGUCCUUAUCCACCGUUAUUUUCUAUUUGCCUCGUAGAAAUAAUAUAAUAUAUAUAUCAAAAAAUUGAAAGGGACAAAUGUAGAAGGAAAUAAUUUUUAAAACAGAUGUGAAGCAGAAUUUUACUAAGGAAUAUAAAGAGUAUAUAAGAGAAAAAAUAAAAAGCAAAUAUAUAAUAAAAAUUAAUGUAAAUAGAUUCACAGGGGAAGGCACUUUGUUUUUAAACAAUUAAAUAAUAAGCAGGUAUUUCAGAUCUAAAUAUGUCAUUUAUAAAUUAUGCAACCAGCAAGCCUAUCCUAGCCAGAGCUGCACAAAAUCACCUUUGGUUUAAAACAAAAGACAACGUACAGCAAAGUAUCUGUUCAAAUACAAGCCAAGGGCAAAGAGAGUUCUGUUCGUGAAACUUUAAAGAAAACUCACGCCUGGAAAAUAAUCACAAAUAAAAGGCAAGCAGAAAAGACAAUGCGAAAAUCAAGGAAAAUCUAAGAAGUAAACAAGAAGGAAAAAAUACAAACAAAGCAAAUUCUGUCCCAAAGUCCAAAGGAAGCGGGGAGUGUCCCCUAUUUUCUAUGAUCUGCAUCAACAGGUUGUGUUCACCGCUCUCUCCUUCCCCCAAACACAUUUAUAUCUCUGCCCCCAAACUCAUUCACAUAUAGAGCCGUCCAAAGUUUGGACUUUAAACCUACUUUUUUUUUUUUUUUUUCCUUUCAUGCUUACAGUUUUUGCUUCUUUCCCUUUGCUUUUUACUUUAGCCAAAAACAUCUGUUCCACCACUGCCUUUUCCUGUCAGGGAUGGACUCCCACAGGCUAGAAAUUGAUCUAAGGCUUCCAGACUCCCUGUCUCAGCUAAAUCUUCCAAACAUUCUUUUCUCCCAGGUGAUUUUUUUUUUUUUUUAAUUUCUGACUCCUUCUGUCUGAUUCUUCAAUGGAUCUUACUCCACGAAUCCCAGAGAUGUUUACAGUCUUAACAGUAUAUGUCAUCUAUUAGUGGAGCUGUUUUUUGCUUUUCUAAGAUCUCAAACAGAAUAUAACUGGUACUAAUUCCAACACCAGAGAAAUAAUGCAAAACAUGUAAACAAUCCCCAGAACCAGAAGAGACAGAAGGCUUGCUAAGUAAUAAAUUCUCCUUGGCCACAGACCACAUCAAAAAAAAAAAAAAAAAAAAAAAAAAA
This 4018-nucleotide long non-coding RNA is filed under the name Sus scrofa (pig). Its description in RNAcentral is "lncRNA (ENSSSCG00045035780.1)". Lineage: Eukaryota; Metazoa; Chordata; Mammalia; Artiodactyla; Suidae. The record is from RNAcentral.